AUGAACGCUGGCGGCGUGCCUAAUACAUGCAAGUCGAGCGAACGGACGAGAAGCUUGCUUCUCUGAUGUUAGCGGCGGACGGGUGAGUAACACGUGGAUAACCUACCUAUAAGACUGGGAUAACUUCGGGAAACCGUAGCUAAUACCGGAUAAUAUUUUGAACCGCAUGGUUCAAAAGUGAAAGACGGUCUUGCUGUCACUUAUAGAUGGAUCCGCGCUGCAUUAGCUAGUUGGUAAGGUAACGGCUUACCAAGGCAACGAUGCAUAGCCGACCUGAGAGGGUGAUCGGCCACACUGGAACUGAGACACGGUCCAGACUCCUACGGGAGGCAGCAGUAGGGAAUCUUCCGCAAUGGGCGAAAGCCUGACGGAGCAACGCCGCGUGAGUGAUGAAGGUCUUCGGAUCGUAAAACUCUGUUAUUAGGGAAGAACAUAUGUGUAAGUAACCGUGCACAUCUUGACGGUACCUAAUCAGAAAGCCACGGCUAACUACGUG
This 496-nucleotide ribosomal RNA is filed under the name uncultured bacterium. RNAcentral describes it as "partial 16S ribosomal RNA". It matches the Rfam family "Bacterial small subunit ribosomal RNA", at positions 29 to 507 of the family's 1533-position model. The record is from RNAcentral.